UUCCUCCGUUUCACAAUAUAAGUUAUUCUAUCAUUUCCUAUAUACAUAUUGAUGUUAAUGAAUCUAGAUAGAUAAUAUCUAGAUUCAUUAACAUCAAUAUGAAUGUGGGAAAUGCUAGAAUGACUUAUAUUGUGAAACGG
RNAcentral lists this unclassified non-coding RNA (140 nucleotides) under Oryza sativa (Asian cultivated rice). RNAcentral describes it as "partial microRNA MIR455b-20 precursor". Lineage: Eukaryota; Viridiplantae; Streptophyta; Magnoliopsida; Poales; Poaceae. The record is from RNAcentral.